AACGAACGCUGGCGGCAUGCCUAACACAUGCAAGUCGAACGAGACCUUCGGGUCUAGUGGCGCACGGGUGCGUAACGCGUGGGAACCUGCCCUUAGGUUCGGAAUACCUCCCCGAAAGGGGUGCUAAUACAGGAUAAUGUCUUCGGACCAAAGAUUUAUCGCCUUUGGAUGGGCCCGCGUUGGAUUAGCUAGUUGGUAGGGUAAAAGCCUACCAAGGCGACGAUCCAUAGCUGGUCUGAGAGGAUGAUCAGCCACACUGGGACUGAGACACGGCCCAGACUCCGACGGGAGGCAGCAGUGGGGAAUAUUGGACGAUGGGCGAAAGCCUGAUCCAGCAAUGCCACGUGAGUGAUGAAGGCCUUAGGGUUGUAAAGCUCUUUUACCCGGGAUGAUAAUGACAGUACCGGGAGAAUAAGCUCCGGCUAACUCCGUG
RNAcentral lists this ribosomal RNA (433 nucleotides) under uncultured bacterium. RNAcentral describes it as "partial 16S ribosomal RNA". It matches the Rfam family "Bacterial small subunit ribosomal RNA", at positions 29 to 507 of the family's 1533-position model. The record is from RNAcentral.